UACGUAGGUGACCAGCGUUGUCCGGAUUUACUGGGCGUAAAGAGCGCGCAGGCGGUCGUUCAAGUCGAGUGUGAAAGCCCCCGGCUCAACUGGGGAGGGUCACUCGAUACUGAUCGACUUGAAGGCAGGAGAGGGAAGCGGAAUUCCCGGUGUAGUGGUGAAAUGCGUAGAUAUCGGAAGGAACAUCAGUGGCGAAAGCGACUUCCUGGACCAAUACUGACGCUCAUGUGCGAAAGCGUGGGGAGCAAACAGG
Molecule: ribosomal RNA, 253 nt
Filed under: uncultured bacterium
Lineage: Bacteria
Description: partial 16S ribosomal RNA
Rfam family: Bacterial small subunit ribosomal RNA
Source: RNAcentral